GACAGAGGGUGCAAACGUUGUUCGGAAUUACUGGGCGUAAAGCGCGUGUAGGCUGCUCAGCAAGUCGGAUGUGAAAGCCCUGGGCUUAACCUAGGAAGUGCAUUCGAAACUUCUGAGCUAGAGUUCUGGAGAGGAAGGCGGAAUUCUCGGUGUAGAGGUGAAAUUCGUAGAUAUCGAGAGGAACACCGGUGGCGAAGGCGGCCUUCUGGACAGUAACUGACGCUGAGACGCGAAAGCGUGGGGAGCAAACAGG
Molecule: ribosomal RNA, 253 nt
Filed under: uncultured bacterium
Lineage: Bacteria
Description: partial 16S ribosomal RNA
Rfam family: Bacterial small subunit ribosomal RNA
Source: RNAcentral